This 1957-nucleotide ribosomal RNA is filed under the name Amanita basii. RNAcentral describes it as "small subunit ribosomal RNA". It matches the Rfam family "Bacterial small subunit ribosomal RNA". Lineage: Eukaryota; Fungi; Basidiomycota; Agaricomycetes; Agaricales; Amanitaceae. The record is from RNAcentral.
AUCAUAAAGAAUUUAAUUUUGGUUCUGAUUGAACGUUUUUCAGUAGUUUUGAGACAUGCAAAUCGUUAUACUUAGAAUUAUUAUAUUAAAAUAUCAAAUAGUAACUAAAUUUAAUAUAAUACUAAUAAGAAUAAGGUGUAAAGGUGAGUAUUGUAAAUCAGAUACCUUAUAGUCUUCUUAAUUCGGAGAUAUUUUUAUUUCUGGAGAAGAUCCAUUUUACUAUUUAUGGAUUUUAUAUCUAUUAUAUUCUAAAUUUAUAUAUUUCUAAAAAGUAUGUAAAUAAAGAAUAUAGUUUAGAUGAAGGAUACUUAUUAGAAUAACUCUAUAUUAUCUUUUUUAAGAGGAAAAGUAGUUUAUUUUCAAUAAGGAUAAGUAAAAAGAUAAAUUAGCUAUUUAUCAAGAAAGGAAAGUUUCUGCUAUAAGAUUCGAUUUAUUUUGUUUAAUGGUAGUUGGUAGGGUAAAGGCCUACCAAGCCUACGAUCAAAAGCCAAGUUUGAUAGAACAGAUGGCCACAUUGGGAGUGAAAUGCCCCAAGUAGUAUUUAACUACCAGCAGUCAAGAAUAUUAGUCAAUGCUCGUAAGAGUGAACUAGCUAACUGAAAUCACUUGAGACAUAAAUAUGUUAAAUGUGAUAAGGUAAGGAAAAAAACUGAUGUUACCUUACUAUUAGUGUUGUCCAAAUCUGGUGCCAGCAGACGCGGUAAUACCAGAAACGCAAACGUUAAUCGUCUUUAUCAGGCGUAAAGGGUUUGUAGGCUGCUUUUACUAUUUCUAUUUAAAAAGCUAUGAAAAUUCAGUUAAAUAGAUAUACAAUAAAAGCUAGAAUCAAAUGGAGGAUAAGCCGAAUAAUACUUAGAGUAGGGAUGAUAUCCAUAGAUACUAAGGGGAAUACUAAAGGUGAAAGCUUUUAUCUACUAAUGAUUGACGCUGAGAAACGAAGGUGAGAAUAGGAAAUAGGAUUAGAUACCCAGAUACCUCUCACAGUCAACGAUGAAUGGUGGUUUGUUAGUUUUAAUAAAAACUGAUAACGAUGCUAACGCGAUAACCAUUCCGCCUUGCGAGUACGGUUGCAAAACUUAAACCAAAAAAAUUAGUCGGUCUCGAAGCAAACGCAGUGGAGCAUGUUAUUUAAUACGAAAGUACGCGUAAAAUCUUACCAGUUCUUGCAUAGCCAUUUUGUAACUAGCCUAAAAACUAGAACUUUUAAAUAAGUAGCAGAAUGAGUAAUAAUCUAAUUAUGUUUAUUAGAUUAUUCGUUUACAGGUGUUGCAUGGCUGUCGUCAGUCCGUGUUUUGAGAAGUUAGGUUAACUCCGCUAACGGACGCAAUCCCUGUUGUUAAUUUAUACUUAACAAUUAAUGAAUUUUAUAUAUUUUCAUUUGGGGCUAAGACAAGUCGUUAUGAUCCUCAUGAACUGGGCUAUAGACGUGCUACAAAAACUUUUACAAAGUGAAGCAAAACCAUACCCUUGUACUCUUUGUGGAAUAAAAUCUAUAAAUUAAGUUAAUAUUUAAUUAAAUAUUAAAUAAUAGGGUAAUAAGGAUUAGCUAAUCAUUAAAAAAAGUUAAAUAAUUAAAUUAUAAACGAAUUGUCGCCUGUAAUUCGGAGACAUGAAGUAGGAAUUGCGAGUAAUCAUUGAUCACUACGCAAUGGUGAAGUUGGAAUUCGGGAUGAACUAACUGUCUGUCGCUGGGAAGGAGCUUAAAUUGGGGGAAACUGCCACGAAAUUAUAUCUUAAACAAAUAUAUACACAUAAAUAAUAAUAUUUGCAAAUAUAUUAUUAUUUAAUUUAAUCUUAUUUAGAUUAAAAUUAAGUGUAGUUUAUUGCUAUUUAUAGUCAUUUAAUUAAAAAAAACAUCUUUGUUAAGCUAAUUAGUAUCAGUUAACCUAAUUAAGUAACAUUUCAAAAGUCAUAGCAAGGUAGUGGUACUGGAAAGUGCUGCUGUAAAAUAAAAUAU